AUUGAACGCUGGCGGCAGGCCUAACACAUGCAGGUCGAGCGGAUGAAGGGAGCUUGCUCCUGGAUUCAGCGGCGGACGGGUGAGUAAUGCCUAGGAAUCUGCCUGGUAGUGGGGGAUAACGUCCGGAAACGGGCGCUAAUACCGCAUACGUCCUGAGGGAGAAAGUGGGGGAUCUUCGGACCUCACGCUAUCAGAUGAGCCUAGGUCGGAUUAGCUAGUUGGUGGGGUAAAGGCUUACCAAGGCGACGAUCCGUAACUGGUCUGAGAGGAUGAUCAGUCACACUGGAACUGAGACACGGUCCAGACUCCUACGGGAGGCAGCAGUGGGGAAUAUUGGACAAUGGGCGAAAGCCUGAUCCAGCCAUGCCGCGUGUGUGAAGAAGGUCUUCGGAUUGUAAAGCACUUUAAGUUGGGAGGAAGGGCAGUAAGUUAAUACCUUGCUGUUUUGACGUUACCAACAGAAUAAGCACCGGCUAACUUCGUG
RNAcentral lists this ribosomal RNA (484 nucleotides) under uncultured bacterium. RNAcentral's name for it is "partial 16S ribosomal RNA". It matches the Rfam family "Bacterial small subunit ribosomal RNA", at positions 30 to 507 of the family's 1533-position model. The record is from RNAcentral.